RNAcentral lists this ribosomal RNA (345 nucleotides) under uncultured bacterium. RNAcentral describes it as "bacterial SSU rRNA". It matches the Rfam family "Bacterial small subunit ribosomal RNA", at positions 556 to 901 of the family's 1533-position model. The record is from RNAcentral.
GGGUUUAAAGGGCGCGUAGGCGGACAUUUAAGUCAGGGGUGAAAUCCCAGAGCUCAACUCUGGAACUGCCUUUGAUACUGGGUGUCUUGAGUGUGAGAGAGGUAUGUGGAACUCCGAGUGUAGAGGUGAAAUUCGUAGAUAUUCGGAAGAACACCAGUGGCGAAGGCGACAUACUGGCUCAUUACUGACGCUGAGGCGCGAAAGCGUGGGGAGCAAACAGGAUUAGAUACCCUGGUAGUCCACGCCGUAAACGAUGAUUGCUAGUUGUCGGGCUGCAUGCAGUUCGGUGACGCAGCUAACGCAUUAAGCAAUCCGCCUGGGGAGUACGGUCGCAAGAUUAAAACU